Long non-coding RNA from Zingiber officinale, 362 nucleotides. RefSeq lists it as uncharacterized. The record is from RefSeq and is a predicted model, not a curated record. Lineage: Eukaryota; Viridiplantae; Streptophyta; Magnoliopsida; Zingiberales; Zingiberaceae. The transcript is spliced from 2 exons.
GACUUCCUCAACUUCAAAAUUUCAGACUGCUAUCUCAGCUUUGGACAACAGAUUAAACGAAGAACAAGAAUAUGGUAAUACUGAUGUUGAAGGCGUUGACUCAACAAAUGCAUGCUAUGGUGGAACAGCUGCCUUGUUUAAUUGUGUUAACUGGGUAGAAAGUAGCUAAUGGGAUGGACGCUACGGAUUGGAUGUCUAGAGCAAAAGCUUUUAGUAAUUGCUGUGGUUGUUGUUGUUGCUGCUGCUGCAAGUGUGCAGUUUGGGCAUCUAAUUUUACCAUAGGAACUACAAGUAUAGACCAUGUAAAUAUUUCAUAAUUGUGCCUUUGUUUAAUCCUGAAAGGAAAGUGUUGUGUGAUCCAA